This is a small nuclear RNA of Pteropus vampyrus (large flying fox), 107 nucleotides long. The record is from Ensembl. NCBI's taxonomy places the organism in Eukaryota, Metazoa, Chordata, Mammalia, Chiroptera, Pteropodidae.
GUGCUCACUUCUGCAGCAGAUAUACUAAAAUUGGAACAAUCCAGAGAAGACUAGCAUGUCCCCUGCACAAGGAUGACACGUAAAUUUAUUAAGUGUUCUAUAUUUAA